GAACUGGUAUUUGGACAGAAGAGAAACCAGCCCCACCUUGGUUUGCAUCAAUCCGAACCGCAUCCCUGGAACCAAUGUUUACAUGUUGUUGCAGAAAGGCUCUACAGAUUCUGCGAACAAAAUGAACGCAUGUGGGGAAUUACAGGAGAGCCUUCUUCAGCUGCAUUGUGGCCCGUUCAAGGCUGUGAGAUAAGAGAACCUAAGCUCUACCGAACCAACAAACCUCACCUCUUUAUAAAUCAAAUAACCCUGAGAUAAAAUUUAGUACAAGAGAGAAGAUAAAAAUUUAGUUAAACAAAAGGUAGGUGAGAAGGCAGUUACGAAGUGGCGCUCAUCAACGUUGGGUCAGUAGUGGAGACAUCGAGAAACGGUUACAAAUAAGUGGCGCCAAACGUAAGGGCUAUAAAGUGGUUUGCUUAUAGACAUCUGUUGUUAAUUACCUUCCGCCGUUUCUUCUUGUGUACUUGUGAUUGGCAUACUAUACUAUACUUUCAUCAGCUUACUCAAUGUUAUGUAGUAAAGAAUAAAUA
Cryptotermes secundus is the source of this 530-nucleotide long non-coding RNA. RefSeq lists it as uncharacterized. The record is from RefSeq and is a predicted model, not a curated record. Lineage: Eukaryota; Metazoa; Arthropoda; Insecta; Blattodea; Kalotermitidae. The transcript is spliced from 3 exons.